Long non-coding RNA from Gallus gallus (chicken), 895 nucleotides. RefSeq lists it as uncharacterized. Lineage: Eukaryota; Metazoa; Chordata; Aves; Galliformes; Phasianidae. The transcript has 2 exons. The record is from RefSeq and is a predicted model, not a curated record.
GGAAUCUUUUUGCACAAGAACCCUAUGUUGUGUUGUAAACCUGCGAACAUUGGUCCCUGAACAGGGACCCAAAAAACAGACCUGUUUGGAGCAAGCUGAAAGAAGCCCUAUUGAGAGAGUGCUGAAAGAAGCGCGGGGCUGAAAGAAGCCUUAUCCUGCUGAAAGAAGAGCGAGGCUGAGAGAAGCCUUACCAUCCCCAGCCACUCUGAUAGCUUUUCGCUGGAUGAAGGCGCUCUUACUGUUUUUACAAAUGGAUCUGGCAGGACUGGCUGCACGGUCAUUGUAUGGAGAAGCAGUGCCAGGAUGUGGGAUAGUGACGUGCAUGUCAUCACUGGCUCUCCACAAAUUGUGGAACUUACAGCAGUGAUCCGUGUGUUUGAGCGAUGGUCUGAAUUUGUGUGGACUUAUCUCGAGGAAGACAGCCAUCUCAGGAGGUACACACAUGACUCUUGCUCAAGCACCCAGGGAUGUCACGUAGGCAGGAAGAAAGAAGGAUAAAAGAGGGUCCAAAAAUCAUGAGGAUAGGUGUCAGCCGUCAGAUCCCUCACUACGGACUGCAUGCUGAUGAACUUCCCUGGGCCUGCUACCUGAGACCUGCUGCUUCCUCCCGGACUUACUCUGUGACUUCUUCCUGGACCCACCCGGUACCUGCACCCUCUCAUUGCCCAAGACCAGCCUCGCUGCUCCUGCCCUUCGGCCUCGGACCAUCGGAAUGGCGUGCAACAGACCGCUGCUGGAUCUUGGUGGUGACUAUCCCCGCUUUACGCAAUUCUUGCUUCUUCGUAUCUUUUCUAUCGCUCACCUUCCCUUCCCCAUCACCCCAAUCUGUAAUAGUAUCCGUCCUCCCUUUCCUUCAUCUCCCUUAUUAACAUCUGUAAUAAACUGGUCGGACCAA